RNAcentral lists this ribosomal RNA (658 nucleotides) under uncultured Planctomycetota bacterium. Its description in RNAcentral is "bacterial SSU rRNA". It matches the Rfam family "Bacterial small subunit ribosomal RNA", at positions 8 to 661 of the family's 1533-position model. The record is from RNAcentral. Lineage: Bacteria; Pseudomonadati; Planctomycetota.
AGAGUUUGAUCAUGGCUCAGAAUGAACGUUGGCGGCGUGGAUUAGGCAUGCAAGUCGAGCGAGAAUCCCUCGCAAGGGGGAGGACAGCGGCAAACGGGGUAGUAACGGGUAGGUGACGUACCCUCGGGUUGGGGAUAGCCACGGGAAACUGUGGGUAAUACCCAAUAAUCUCUUCGCACGUGAUGUGUGGAGAGCAAAGGUGUGAUUCCACCGGAGGAGCGGCCUGCCUCGUAUUAGCUUGUUGGUGAGGUAAUGGCUCACCAAGGCUUCGAUGCGUAGGGGGUGUGAGAGCACGACCCCCACCACUGGGACUGAGAUACUGCCCAGACACCUACGGGUGGCUGCAGUCGAGAAUCUUCGGCAAUGGGCGCAAGCCUGACCGAGCGACGCCGCGUGUGGGAUGAAGGCCCUUGGGUUGUAAACCACUGUCAGAGGGGAUGAAAUGCCAGCCAGUUAUCUGGUUGGUUUGACAUAGCCUCAGAGGAAGCACGGGCUAAGUUCGUGCCAGCAGCCGCGGUAAUACGAACUGUGCAAACGUUAUUCGGAAUCACUGGGCUUACAGGGUGCGUAGGCGGCUUGUUAAGUAGGGUGUGAAAUCCCCCGGCUCAACCGGGGAAUGGCGCCCUAAACUGUCGAGCUGGAGUGAGAUAGGGGUGUG